AAUGGGACCAGCAAAGAAUGAUUCUGCAUUGCACAGGGUAGGCAAGAACACCUGCUAAUUGGCUCACUGCUAUAACCUAUGCGGCCAGAAAGUAGAUCUAGUGGGGAGCCAAAAAGGAAAUGGCAAUACAUUGGGAGGAUUAUCCAAAGCAAUUAAUAAAACCACUUUUUGUUUUUGCUCCAGUUUUGAGAAAGAGUCAGCCUUGUUCACCCUGGCUGAUGAAGGGCUCUUGAAAUUGGACACAGGCAUGCUCCCUGUGAAGUGGAAGUGGAAAGUCACCCUUGGUUCCUCAGAGAAAAGGAAAGAUAUGAACCAUUUCCAGGGAUUCAGCUUUAAAUCUCACUACUAAAAUCAAGGACAGAUCCUGAAGCUGAGGCUCCAAUACUUUGGCCAUCUCAUGAGAAGAGAAGUCUCCCUGGAAAAGACCCUGAUGUUGGGAAAGUGUGAAGGCAAGAGGAGAAGGGGACGAUAGAGGAUGGUUGGACAUUGUCAUCAAAGCUACCAACAUGAAUUUGACCCAACUCUGGGAGGCAGUGGAAGAAAGGAGGGCCUGGUGUGCUCUGGUCCAUAGGGUCACGAAGAGUUGGACGUGACUUAAUGACUAAACAACAGCAACAAUUAAAAUCAAGAUAUAGGCUGUUCUCCAUUAAUUUUAGCAAGGAGUUUUGACUGACUCAGGAAUAAGCUGACUUGUUGGGUUUUUCUUAAAGCAACAACAAAACUGAUUUUGGGAGAAGCAGUUUACUUUAACUGGCUGGACAGCUCUAUGAGCUGGAGUACCAGGCUGUGGGACAAGGGAUCAGGACAGGAGCUUGAUUCCCUACCAUGCCUCCUGGGAGAACAUGUGCAAACUGCACCGUCCCAAAGCAACCCCAGGAGGAGGGAUUAGUAAACCACUUGUGAGUAUUAUAUAUAGAAACAUUGCCUUGAAGUCAAUUAGUUUAUUUUAUUUCUGAGUCAGUUCUAUGUGAACCAUGAUUUCUUCCCCAACACUACUAAUAUGUAGUAACAGAACAACAUCAACACGCUCAGCAUUAUAAGCCUCUUAACUAUCAUAAGAUUUGAAUAAGAUCAUGACAACUUUCAAGUAAGCAAAGGAGGGGCACUUCUUUAAAAUGUUUUCCACUUCAUAUCAUGAAAUAGUCCAGCUUUGAACUCAUUAGGAGUAUAUAUAUUAAAUAAGACUGAAGUGUCUCCUAAAUCCAGAAUGGAUGUGUGUUUACUCCAUGGCUUCAGAGCUAAUAAAGAUUUCUUUGUAAGGCA
RNAcentral lists this long non-coding RNA (1263 nucleotides) under Pogona vitticeps (central bearded dragon). Its description in RNAcentral is "lncRNA (ENSPVIG00000021595.1)". The record is from RNAcentral. Lineage: Eukaryota; Metazoa; Chordata; Lepidosauria; Squamata; Agamidae.